UGGGAACAUACCCUUAGGUUCGGAAUAGCUCAGGGAAACUUGAGGUAAUACCGGAUAAGCCCUUCGGGGGAAAGAUUUAUCGCCAUUGGAUUGGCCCGCGUCUGAUUAGCUAGUUGGUGAGGUAAUGGCUCACCAAGGCGACGAUCAGUAGCUGGUCUGAGAGAAUGAUCAGCCACAUUGGGACUGAGACACGGCCCAAACUCCGUACGGGAGGCAG
This 217-nucleotide ribosomal RNA is filed under the name uncultured bacterium. Its description in RNAcentral is "partial 16S ribosomal RNA". It matches the Rfam family "Bacterial small subunit ribosomal RNA", at positions 118 to 351 of the family's 1533-position model. The record is from RNAcentral.